Molecule: ribosomal RNA, 2535 nt
Filed under: Drosophila serrata
Lineage: Eukaryota; Metazoa; Arthropoda; Insecta; Diptera; Drosophilidae
Description: eukaryotic LSU rRNA
Rfam family: Eukaryotic large subunit ribosomal RNA
Source: RNAcentral
UAAUCUUAUCUGGUAAAGCGAAUGAUUAGAGGCCUUAGGGUCGAAACGAUCUUAACCUAUUCUCAAACUUUAAAUGGGUAAGAACCUUAACUUUCUUGAUAUGAAGUUUAAGGUUAUGAUAUAAUGUGCCCAGUGGGCCACUUUUGGUAAGCAGAACUGGCGCUGUGGGAUGAACCAAACGUAAUGUUACGGUGCCCAAAUUAACAACUCAUGCAGAUACCAUGAAAGGCGUUGGUUGCUUAAAACAGCAGGACGGUGAUCAUGGAAGUCGAAAUCCGCUAAGGAGUGUGUAACAACUCACCUGCCGAAGCAACUAGCCCUUAAAAUGGAUGGCGCUUAAGUUGUAUACCUAUACAUUACCGCUAAAGUAGAUGAUUUAUAUUACUUGUAAUAUAAAUUUUGAAACUUUAGUGAGUAGGAAGGUACAAUGGUAUGCGUAGAAGUGUUUGGCGUAAGCCUGCAUGGAGCUGCCAUUGGUACAGAUCUUGGUGGUAGUAGCAAAUAAUCGAAUGAGACCUUGGAGGACUGAAGUGGAGAAGGGUUUCGUGUGAACAGUGGUUGAUCACGAGUUAGUCGGUCCUAAGUUCAAGGCGAAAGCCGAAAAUUUUCAAGUAAUAAAAUGACUAUAUAUUACAAAAAUGCCAAUUAAUAUACUUGAAUAAUUUUGAACGAAAGGGAAUACGGUUCCAAUUCCGUAACCUGUUGAGUAUCCGUUUGUUAUUAAAUAUGGGCCUCGUGCUCAUCCUGGCAACAGGAACGACCAUAAAGAAGCCGUCGAGAGAUAUCGGAAGAGUUUUCUUUUCUGUUUUAUAGCCGUACUACCAUGGAAGUCUUUCGCAGAGAGAUAUGGUAGAUGGGCUAGAAGAGCAUGACAUAUACUGUUGUGUCGAUAUUUUCUCCUCGGACCUUGAAAAUUUAUGGUGGGGAUACGCAAACUUCUCAACAGGCCGUACCAAUAUCCGCAGCUGGUCUCCAAGGUGAAGAGUCUCUAGUCGAUAGAAUAAUGUAGGUAAGGGAAGUCGGCAAAUUAGAUCCGUAACUUCGGGAUAAGGAUUGGCUCUGAAGAUUGAGAUAGUCGGGCUUGAUUGGGAAACAAUAACAUGGUUUAUGUGCUCGUUCUGGGUAAAUAGAGUUUCUAUCAUUUAUGUUAGUUGCUUGUUCCCCGGAUAGUUUAGUUACGUAGCCAAUUGUGGAACUUUCUUGCUAAAAUUUUUAAGAAUACUAGUUGGGUCAAACCAAUUAGUUCUUAUUAAUUAUAACGAUUAUCAAUUAACAAUCAAUUCAGAACUGGCACGGACUUGGGGAAUCCGACUGUCUAAUUAAAACAAAGCAUUGUGAUGGCCCUAGCGGGUGUUGACACAAUGUGAUUUCUGCCCAGUGCUCUGAAUGUCAAAGUGAAGAAAUUCAAGUAAGCGCGGGUCAACGGCGGGAGUAACUAUGACUCUCUUAAGGUAGCCAAAUGCCUCGUCAUCUAAUUAGUGACGCGCAUGAAUGGAUUAACGAGAUUCCUACUGUCCCUAUCUACUAUCUAGCGAAACCACAGCCAAGGGAACGGGCUUGGAAUAAUUAGCGGGGAAAGAAGACCCUUUUGAGCUUGACUCUAAUCUGGCAGUGUAAGGAGACAUAAGAGGUGUAGAAUAAGUGGGAGAUAUUAGACUUCGGUUUGGUAUCGACAAUGAAAUACCACUACUCUUAUUGUUUCCUUACUUACUUGAUUAAAUGGAACGUGUAUCAUUUCCUAGCCAUUAUACGGAUAUAUUUAUUAUAUCUUAUGGUAUUGGGUUUUGAUGCAAGCUUCUUGAUCAAAGUAUCACGAGUUUGUUAUAUAAUCGCAAACAAAUUCUUUAAUGAGACGAUGCAUUUAUGUAUUUUUGAUUUGAAAAUUUGGUAUAACUCCAAUUACUCAGGUAUGAUCCAAUUCAAGGACAUUGCCAGGUAGGGAGUUUGACUGGGGCGGUACAUCUCUCAAAUAAUAACGGAGGUGUCCCAAGGCCAGCUCAGUGCGGACAGAAACCACACAUAGAGCAAAAGGGCAAAUGCUGACUUGAUCUCGGUGUUCAGUACACACAGGGACAGCAAAAGCUCGGCCUAUCGAUCCUUUUGGUUUAAAGAGUUUUUAACAAGAGGUGUCAGAAAAGUUACCAUAGGGAUAACUGGCUUGUGGCGGCCAAGCGUUCAUAGCGACGUCGCUUUUUGAUCCUUCGAUGUCGGCUCUUCCUAUCAUUGUGAAGCAAAAUUCACCAAGCGUUGGAUUGUUCACCCAUGCAAGGGAACGUGAGCUGGGUUUAGACCGUCGUGAGACAGGUUAGUUUUACCCUACUAAUGACAAAACGUUGUUGCGACAGCAUUCCUGCGUAGUACGAGAGGAACCGCAGGUACGGACCAAUGGCACAAUACUUGUUCGAGCGAACAGUGGUAUGACGCUACGUCCGUUGGAUUAUGCCUGAACGCCUCUAAGGUCGUAUCCGUGCUGGACUGCAAUGAUAAAUAAGGGGCAAUUUGCAUUGUAUGGCUUCUAAACCAUUUAAAGUUUGU